GAAUUCGGCUUCGGUAAUUCCAGCUCCAAUAGCGUAUAUUAAAAUUGUCGCGGUUAAAACGCUCGUAGUUGGAUAUCUGUGAGCGGGUUCCGGUCCUUCCCAGUGAAGAUUACACGGAACUCUGCUCGCAUUUGUUCAGGGAGGGUGGAUGCACUUCAUUGUGUGACCACAUGAUCUGAAUUUUUACUUUGAGGAAAUGAGAGUGUUCCAAGCAGGCAAUCGCCGUGAAUAUGAUAGCAUGGAAUAAUAGCACAGGACUCUUGGUUCAAUGCUGUUGGUUAAUUGAACUAGAGUAAUCACAAUAAGGAUAGUUGGGGGUAUUCGUAUUUAACUGUCAGAGGUGAAAUUCUUGGAUUUUUUAAAGACGAACAAUUGCGAAGGCAUCUACCCAGGAUGUUUUUGUUGAUCAAGAACGAAAGUUAGGGGAUCGAAGACGAUCAGAUACCGUCCUAGUCUUAACCUUAAACUAUGCCGGCUGGAGAUUGGAGUCGUCAGAUUUGUGACGUCUUCAGCAUCCUAUGAGAAAUCUAAGUCUUUGGGUUCCGGGGGGAGUAUGGUCGCAAGGCUGAAACUUAAAGGAAUUGACGGAAGGGCACCACCAGGAGGGGAGCCUGCGGCUUAAUUUGACUCAACACGUGAAAACUCACCAGGUCCAGACAUAGAUAGGAUUGACAGACUGAUAGCUCUUUCUUAAUUCUAUGGGAGGUGGUGCAUGGCCGUUCUUAGUUGGUGGAGUGAUUUGUCUGGUUAAUUCCGUUAACGAACGUGACCUUAACCUGCUAAAUAGUGAUCUGAACCUCGUUUCAUGAGCUACUUCUUAGAGGGACUUCGUGUGUUUAACGCGAGGAAGUUUGAGGCAAUAACAGGUCUGUGAUGCCCUUAGAUGUCCUGGGCUGCACGCGCGCUACACUGAUGUGUCCAGUAAGCACCUAACCUCUUCCGAAGGGAACGGGUAACCUUAGCAAAGCACAUCGUGAUGGGGAUAGAUUAUUGCAAUUAUUAGUCUUGAACGAGGAAUUCCUAGUAAGCACAAGUCAUCAGCUUGUGUUGAUUACGUCCCUGCCCUUUGUACACACCGCCCGUCGCUCCUACCGAUUGAAUGUUCCGGUGAAUACUUCGGACUGCGUGGUUUGCAGUUUCUGCAUUCCUUGCGGAAAGUUGAAUAAACCUUAACAUUUAGGGGAAGGAGAAGUCGUAACAAGGUAAGCCGAAUUC
This 1215-nucleotide ribosomal RNA is filed under the name uncultured eukaryote. RNAcentral's name for it is "SSU rRNA". It matches the Rfam family "Eukaryotic small subunit ribosomal RNA", at positions 570 to 1831 of the family's 1831-position model. The record is from RNAcentral.